RNAcentral lists this ribosomal RNA (815 nucleotides) under uncultured bacterium. Its description in RNAcentral is "bacterial SSU rRNA". It matches the Rfam family "Bacterial small subunit ribosomal RNA", at positions 8 to 796 of the family's 1533-position model. The record is from RNAcentral.
AGAGUUUGAUCAUGGCUCAGAACGAACGCUGGCGGCGUGGAUAAGACAUGCAAGUCGAACGCUGAUUACGGGGUAGCAAUAUUCCGUGGUCGGAGUGGCGCAAGGGUGCGUAACACGUGGGUAAUCUGCCAUAAAGUUUGGGAUAACUCGCUGAAAGGCGAGCUAAUACCGGAUGUGAGAAUCGGGAGGCAUCUUUUGAUUCUCAAAGCUGGGGACCGCAAGGCCUGGCGCUUUUUGAUGAACCCGCGGCCUAUCAGCUAGUUGGUGAGGUAACGGCCCACCAAGGCUAAGACGGGUAGCUGGUCUGAGAGGACGACCAGCCUCACUGGAACUGAGACACGGUCCAGACACCUACGGGUGGCAGCAGUCGAGAAUUUUUCACAAUGGGCGCAAGCCUGAUGGAGCGACGCCGCGUGGGGGAUGAAUGGCUUCGGCCCGUAAACCCCUGUCAUUUGCGAACAAACGUUAUUAUUUAAAAGAUGAUGACCUGAUUGUAGCGAAAGAGGAAGGGACGGCUAACUCUGUGCCAGCAGCCGCGGUAAUACAGAGGUCCCAAGCGUUGUUCGGAUUCACUGGGCGUAAAGGGUGCGUAGGUGGUGGGGAGAGUCUGAUGUGAAAGCUCCAAGCUCAACUUGGAAAUGGCAUUGGAAACUACUCUGCUCGAGGGUUGGAGGGGGGACUGGAAUACUUGGUGUAGCAGUGAAAUGCGUAGAUAUCAAGUGGAACACCAGUGGCGAAGGCGAGUCCCUGGACAACUCCUGACACUGAGGCACGAAAGCUAGGGGAGCAAACAGGAUUAGAUACCCUAGUAGUCC